AGCGCUCAGACCGAGCAUGCUGAUCGCAGUAGGUUAGCAAGUCGAACAUAUCUUCAGUGGUCAUCGAAGCCUGAUGCAUCGGUUUCCCGGGGGAAAGUUUCUUGUUUUACCCACUGCUACUCGGGUAUUUCCCGGUAAUUCAAUUGCUAUUCGAGGAAUUCGAUAAUGGCUACUGGUACAGUUAAGUGGUUCAACGACACUAAAGGCUUCGGCUUCAUUUCUCCGGACGACAACGGUGACGACCUGUUCGCUCACUUCUCCGAGAUUCAGGCUGACGGCUUCAAAUCUCUGCAGGACGGCCAGAAGGUUUCCUUCGACGUCACUCAGGGCAAGAAAGGCCUGCAGGCUUCCAACAUCAAGGUCAUCGACUGAUCUGAUGCUGGUCCAGGGCUAACGCUCUGAAUGCAGAAGAAGGCUCGCCAUUGGCGGGCCUUCUUUG
Molecule: small RNA, 439 nt
Filed under: Halomonas huangheensis
Lineage: Bacteria; Pseudomonadati; Pseudomonadota; Gammaproteobacteria; Oceanospirillales; Halomonadaceae
Description: cspA thermoregulator
Rfam family: cspA thermoregulator
Source: Rfam by way of RNAcentral